This 201-nucleotide unclassified non-coding RNA is filed under the name uncultured fungus. Its description in RNAcentral is "sequence contains ITS1, 5.8S rRNA gene". Lineage: Eukaryota; Fungi. The record is from RNAcentral.
UUAACUAUUAUAUAGUACUCAGACGACACUAAUAUUCAGAGUUUGGGGUCCUCUGGCGGGCGCUUACCAGCCGAAGCCGGUAGCCUGACCGAGGCCGGGCGGCCCGCCAAAGCAACAGAGAUAAUGAUAACAUAGGGUGGGAGGUCUACCCCGAAGGGCAUGAACUCGGUAAUGAUCCCUCCGCAGGUUCACCUACGGAGA